This 67-nucleotide transfer RNA is filed under the name Olidiana ritcheri. RNAcentral describes it as "tRNA-Gln". The record is from RNAcentral. Lineage: Eukaryota; Metazoa; Arthropoda; Insecta; Hemiptera; Cicadellidae.
UGUAGUAUAAUGUUAAUGCAUAUGAAAUUUUGAAUUUUAAUGGAAAACUUUAUUGUUUUUAUUACAG